GCAAUGUAUUCCAAUCGUGCUAUCUUUCCCUCAUACUAUAGAGUACAGACCCUAUGAGUGAGUGACACUAGGUUGGAGAUAAGUGUACCUAGGAUGCUCUCCCCUGAUACCCCCACCACCCCUAGGCAUUGUGGGUGUUGUAGUAGCACAUAAAGCUUGUAGCCUGGGUCACUCUCCUCCAGAGCUGCUGACGUACUGUGUGCACCGGCUAUGUACUAAUGGACGGGCAGCUCUGCCAGGCACACACUGUGCCAGGGUGGCACUGAGAAUAAACCCCCCCACAGGAGGUGAGAAAAACAACACAGUCCCAGCCCACUAUUCACUCUACCUGUCCGCUGUCUCCGAGGACACCGACUGGAUUCCACCUGACUGGAUCCCCGGGAAGCGGAAGUGAUGAGCUGUAAAUAUGCCUCUGCUUGAAGAAAAGAUUGACAAAUUGAUGGCAAAUAGACGGCAAAGCAAUCAAGCAAAUAAAGAUCGAUCACUGAAAACCAUUCUAACAAGCAAGCUAAGUGUGAAUUGUCUGUCAUAUCAACCAAUUCAUCAAGUGACAGAGAAACUAGCUGAAGUCAUCCAAAUCUGUAUCAGCUGCCAUGACGUCAACUCUUCUAACGUAACUGAGCAGCUGAAGGAAAUCUAUUGCAAAUAUUAUUUCUGUUCUUUUUUCAAAGUUAUUAAAGAGUGAAUCAGCAGCUUCUAAAUAGGCUUCUUUAAUCAUCUCACCAUCCUCAGAUGUUUUUUUUCCCUCUUUGCUGUUAGCUGAGACACUCGAUAAGAAGACACAGAUGUGACUGUGAUUUUCUAUACACGUCUAUUAAACAAUCCUUUCAAUGUUUUAAAAUGUGCAUGGCCUCUUUUUUUUUUCUUGGCGAAAGCGAUGGAAGCUUUGCAGAACAAAUGCACGCGCUUCCCAAUUAUUUCAGUGUUAUGUUCCUCUUCACAAUUUUUUUUAUGUAUAUGUUUGCCAUUGACAUGAAGGCUGAACAACUGCCACUACAUGUUGAAUUGCUCUACUGGUUUUAGGCCUGGCUAUGCUUGCAUCUGGACUUGCAGGCUGGGCUGAAUUCUGACAUGGCCCAGCUGAGCCUGGCUAGUCUGAAUUCUGCCGUGGCCCAGCUGGCUGGCUGGUUUGAGUUCUGGCCUGGCUAAAUGGUUUGAGUUUUGGCAAUGCCAACUAAGUUUGGCCUGUCACAGCAUUAUACAUCUCGGCCAGGACAGUGCAGAGGUUGGGAGUAAGUAACAGAGUGCAGGAACAAGAAUAAGAACUGCAGAGUUCAGAGGUCAGUAGUAUGUAACAUAGCAUGCAGAUGUAAGUUUUCAG
Long non-coding RNA from Rana temporaria (common frog), 1321 nucleotides. RefSeq lists it as uncharacterized. The record is from RefSeq and is a predicted model, not a curated record. NCBI's taxonomy places the organism in Eukaryota, Metazoa, Chordata, Amphibia, Anura, Ranidae. The transcript has 3 exons.